GUCUAUGGCCAUACCACCCUGAACACGCCUGAUCUCGUCUGAUCUUAGAAGCUAAGCAGGGUCAGGCCUGAUAAGUACUUGGAUGGGAGAGAAGAAUGUGCUCUAGGAU
RNAcentral lists this ribosomal RNA (109 nucleotides) under Carlito syrichta (Philippine tarsier). The record is from RNAcentral. Lineage: Eukaryota; Metazoa; Chordata; Mammalia; Primates; Tarsiidae.